GUCGUGUGGCAGCAGGGACAGUCCCCAGUCCCUCCGGCAGGGAUGCCUCUCCUCCAGCAGGCCCAGGAAUGUGGCCGUGGCGGCUGUGGCAAAACUCGUACACAUUUCCUGCCCGCUAUGAAGACAUGUCAGGCUCCCCCAAACCUCUCCCCAGCCACAAGUCACGCUAAACGUGCUCCUGGGCACAGCGAGGUAUGUAUAUUUUUCUAUUUGUCAUCUUCACGCAUGGUUGUAGGCUUGGUGAUUUUUUUUUUU
This 255-nucleotide long non-coding RNA is filed under the name Lonchura striata (white-rumped munia). Its description in RNAcentral is "domestica (Bengalese finch) lncRNA (ENSLSDG00000017550.1)". Lineage: Eukaryota; Metazoa; Chordata; Aves; Passeriformes; Estrildidae. The record is from RNAcentral.